UGGGGAAUCUUCCGCAAUGGACGAAAGUCUGACGGAGCAACGCCGCGUGAGUGAUGACGGUCUUCGGAUUGUAAAGCUCUGUUAAUCGGGACGAAUGGUUUGUGUGCAAAUAGUGCAUAGACAUGACGGUACCGGAAUAGAAAGCCACGGCUAACUACGUGCCAGCAGCCGCGGUAAUACGUAGGUGGCAAGCGUUGUCCGGAAUUAUUGGGCGUAAAGCGCGCGCAGGCGGACUAGCCAGUCAGUCUUAAAAGUUCGGGGCUUAACCCCGUGAUGGGAUUGAAACUACUAGUCUAGAGUAUCGGAGAGGAAAGUGGAAUUCCUAGUGUAGCGGUGAAAUGCGUAGAGAUAUGGAGGAACACCAGUGGCGAAGGCGACUUUCUGGUCUGUAACUGACGCUGAUGUGCGAAAGCGUGGGGAUCAAACAGG
This 429-nucleotide ribosomal RNA is filed under the name Bacteroidota bacterium. RNAcentral describes it as "Bacteroidetes bacterium partial 16S ribosomal RNA". It matches the Rfam family "Bacterial small subunit ribosomal RNA", at positions 355 to 776 of the family's 1533-position model. The record is from RNAcentral. Lineage: Bacteria; Pseudomonadati; Bacteroidota.